GAUUAACGCUGGCGGCAUGCCUAACACAUGCAAGUCGAAUGUCCCGAUUUAUCGGGACAUGGCGGACGGCUGAGUAACGCGUGGGUAUCUACCUCCGAGUCGAGCAUAACCCCGGGAAACCGGGGAUAAUUCUCGAUAGUCUCGCAAGAGUAAAGAUUUAUCGCUUGGAGAGGAGCCUGCGUCCGAUUAGCUUGUUGGUAAGGUAACGGCUUACCAAGGCUAUGAUCGGUAGGGGGCCUGAGAGGGUAACCCCCCAGACUGGGACUGAGACACGGCCCAG
Molecule: ribosomal RNA, 280 nt
Filed under: uncultured bacterium
Lineage: Bacteria
Description: partial 16S ribosomal RNA
Rfam family: Bacterial small subunit ribosomal RNA
Source: RNAcentral